UACGGAGGCAGCAGUGGGGAAUAUUGCACAAUGGGCGCAAGCCUGAUGCAGCCAUGCCGCGUGUAUGAAGAAGGCCUUCGGGUUGUAAAGUACUUUCAGUCGUGAGGAAGGUGUUAAGGUUAAUAACCUUAGCAAUUGACGUUAGCGACAGAAGAAGCACCGGCUAACUCCGUGCCAGCAGCCGCGGUAAUACGGAGGGUGCGAGCGUUAAUCGGAAUUACUGGGCGUAAAGGGCACGCAGGCGGUUAAUUAAGUUGGAUGUGAAAUCCCCGGGCUUAACCUGGGAAUGGCAUUCAAGACUGGUUAGCUAGAGUCUUGUAGAGGGGGUAGAAUUCCAUGUGUAGCGGUGAAAUGCGUAGAGAUGUGGAGGAAUACCGGUGGCGAAGGCGGCCCCUGGACAAAGGCUGACGCUCAUGUGCGAAAGCGUGGGGAGCAAACAGGGAUUAGAUACC
This 452-nucleotide ribosomal RNA is filed under the name uncultured bacterium. RNAcentral describes it as "bacterial SSU rRNA". It matches the Rfam family "Bacterial small subunit ribosomal RNA", at positions 340 to 786 of the family's 1533-position model. The record is from RNAcentral.